AUGCCGGGAGCCAAGCGCUGCCAUGGGGCACCGGGCCUGCCCUGCACGUGGGGCCGUGACAGCCCCACGGGGCCGCCUCCGGUGCCUCCUCCCAGCUCCCGUUAUCCAGCACCCACCGGAGCCAUGCUCCUUCCAGCCCCAUCCCCUUUCCCUUGGAUCCGGGGGGAAAUAGCCCUUUCCCCGUGUUUUACCCACCCGGGGAAGCCGAGGCACAUCCAGGGGCUGCCGGGAGCAGCUCCGGGCCCGGGGGGGGGGGGGGGGGGGGGGGGGGGGGGGGGGGGGGGGGGGGGGGGGGGGGGGGGGGGGGGGGGGGGGGGGGGGGGGGGGGGGGGGGGGGGGGGGGGGGGGGGGGGGGGGGGGGGCCCGCUGCUCCCGCCCCUCGCGGCUCCCCAGACCCUCCUUUCCCGGGGGCUGCGUGGGGCCGUCGGUGACACCGGGGUCGGGGGAAACACACGGAUGAUUCCCGGGGUGGGGAACGAGAGGUUUCGUCCCGCAGCACAAGCACGGAACGGGCCGGUACCGAGCGCUCCCCCGCCCCCACGGACCUGGGAAGAUGGGAGGAACCGGGGGAACCGGGAGGAACUGGGGGGUACCGGGAGGUACCGGGGAAACCGGCCCUUACCUGCAGCCUGCCUCGGGGAGAGCGGCUGGGACCGGGACCGGGACCGGGACCGGGGGGGGGGGGGGGGGGGGGGGGGGGGGGGGGGGGGGGGGGGGGGGGGGGGGGGGGGGGGGGGGGGGGGGGGGGGGGGGGGGGGGGGGGGGGGGGGGGCCCCAGCCGCUACCGGAGCCCGGUCCGAUGUCCGGUGCUCGGUCUUCGAUGCCCAGUGCCAGUCCCGGUGUCCGAUGUCCGGUGUUCGGUCCGAUGUCCGGUGCUCGGUCUUCGAUGCCCAGUGCCAGUCCCGGUGUCCGAUGUCCGGUGUUCGGUCCGAUGUCCGGUGCUCGGUCUUCGAUGCCCAGUGCCAGUCCCGGUGUCCGAUGUCCGGUGUUCGGUCCGAUGUCCGGUGCUCGGUCUUCGAUGCCCAGUGCCAGUCCCGGUGUCCGAUGUCCGGUGUUCGGUCCGAUGUCCGGUGCUCGGUCUUCGAUGCCCAGUGCCAGUCCCGGUGUCCGAUGUCCGGUGUUCGGUCCGAUGUCCGGUGCUCGGUCUUCGAUGCCCAGUGCCAGUCCCGGUGUCCGAUGUCCGGUGUUCGGUCCGAUGUCCGGUGCUCGGUCUUCGAUGCCCAGUGCCAGUCCCGGUGUCCGAUGUCCGGUGUUCGGUCCGAUGUCCGGUGCUCGGUCUUCGAUGCCCAGUGCCAGUCCCGGUGUCCGAUGCCCGGCUCCCGGUGCCGAUGCCCGACUCUCAGUGCCCGGUUCUCUGUGCCGGUUCCUGGUGCCGGUUCUCGGCUCCCAGUGUCCAGUUCCCGGUGCCGGUUCCCGGCUCACACUGCCCGGUUCCCGGUGCCGGUUCCCAGCUCUCAGUACCCGGUUCCCGGUGCCGGUUCCUGGCUCUCAGUGUCCGGUUCCGGUGCCGGUUCCCGGCUCUCGGUGCCGGUUCCCGGCUCUCGGUGCCCGGUUCCGGUGCCGGUUCGGUGCCGGUUCCCGGCGGGUCGGGCCCGGGGGGGGGGGGGGGGGGGGGGGGGGGGGGGGGGGGGGGGGGGGGGGGGGGGGGGGGGGGGGGGGGGGGGGGGGGGGGGGGGG
Molecule: long non-coding RNA, 1677 nt
Organism: Ficedula albicollis (Collared flycatcher)
Lineage: Eukaryota; Metazoa; Chordata; Aves; Passeriformes; Muscicapidae
Source: Ensembl